GCUUAAGGAAUUAUGGAUGCUACGCAAUUUCGCUUUAAAAAUAUCUAAGAUAGGCAUAGAUCAGAUUUGUUAAUUAGUAGAGGUCUAGUCUUCUUGCAUCAGCCAAAAAAUAAUAUAUAAAAAAAACAGUCUAUUGCGUAGUGCUAGCUAGCCAUUUGGUGCGCUACCAAAUUCCUAGCCAAGAAAUAAAAUGAAAUGAAUGUCAACCAAAUGGGUCGCCCUUGAAACAGAAUUAUGUGAUACUUUGCAGAUGGUUUGGCAUGACUCAUCCUUUCAUGCAUGAUCCAGGCAUUAGUGCUAGCCAGCCGCCAUGAGUCAUACACUUUGCUAACGCCCGAAGGAAAUGUUGAAAUAUAUAUUGGUCUUAUAUACCCUCUCUUUUUUUUCUUUUCUCAAAUAAUUUUGUAUCUAGUGCAUGAUUACCUAGAAACCUCAUUUAUCUUUCUAGUGAAUUCUCAAAGAUGUCUCUGUAAUAUUUCCCAAUGAUCAUAUAGCUAGAUAAAGUUUAUUUCGGGAGUUUUUCCAGCUAUAGUCAUAGCCUGUGAGAGUGUGUGUGUGUGUGUGUGUAUUAUGUGAUCAACAUGUUUUGAUUAGCUUUCUGCUUGCAGGAAAGAACAUGGAAACCUCAAUUAAGUAAUCAACGUCUUUCCUGGACUUCAACAGCAAAAGAAACUUCAUUUGCAAGGAAUAAGAAAAUCUGCGACACUGGGUUUUUUUAUUAUUAUUUGUCAUUGAUACUGAUCAUGAAUAGGAUGGAGAGGCUAAUUGGUGCUGUAUAUUUUACAGCGAGAGGG
Molecule: long non-coding RNA, 794 nt
Filed under: Populus trichocarpa (black cottonwood)
Lineage: Eukaryota; Viridiplantae; Streptophyta; Magnoliopsida; Malpighiales; Salicaceae
Description: long non-coding RNA (PTRI_LNC000928)
Source: RNAcentral